Molecule: ribosomal RNA, 142 nt
Filed under: Cerrena consors
Lineage: Eukaryota; Fungi; Basidiomycota; Agaricomycetes; Polyporales; Cerrenaceae
Description: 5.8S ribosomal RNA
Rfam family: 5.8S ribosomal RNA
About the family: 5.8S ribosomal RNA (5.8S rRNA) is a component of the large subunit of the eukaryotic ribosome. It is transcribed by RNA polymerase I as part of the 45S precursor that also contains 18S and 28S rRNA. Functionally, it is thought that 5.8S rRNA may be involved in ribosome translocation.
Source: RNAcentral
AACUUUUAGCAACGGAUCUCUUGGCUCUCGCAUCGAUGAAGAACGCAGCGAAAUGCGAUAAGUAAUGUGAAUUGCAGAAUUCAGUGAAUCAUCGAAUCUUUGAACGCACCUUGCGCCCCUUGGUAUUCCGAGGGGCAUGCCU